UACGUAGGGGGCGAGCGUCAUCCGGAUUCAUUGGGCGUAAAGCGCGCGUAGGCGGCCGCCUAAGCGGAACCUCUAACCCCGGGGCUCAACCUCGGGCCGGGUUCCGGACUGGGCGGCUCGAGUGCGGUAGAGGAGAGCGGAAUUCCCGGUGUAGCGGUGGAAUGCGCAGAUAUCGGGAAGAACACCGAUGGCGAAGGCAGCUCUCUGGGCCGUCACUGACGCUGAGGCGCGAAAGCUGGGGGAGCGAACAGG
This 252-nucleotide ribosomal RNA is filed under the name uncultured bacterium. RNAcentral's name for it is "partial 16S ribosomal RNA". It matches the Rfam family "Bacterial small subunit ribosomal RNA", at positions 524 to 776 of the family's 1533-position model. The record is from RNAcentral.